GUAGGUGGCAAGCGUUGUCCGGAAUUAUUGGGCGUAAAGCGCGCGCAGGCGGUUCCUUAAGUCUGAUGUGAAAGCCCACGGCUCAACCGUGGAGGGUCAUUGGAAACUGGAGAACUUGAGUACAGAAGAGGAAAGCGGAAUUCCGCGUGUAGCGGUGAAAUGCGUAGAGAUGUGGAGGAACACCAGUGGCGAAGGCGGCUUUCUGGUCUGUAACUGACGCUGAGGCGCGAAAGCGUGGGGAGCAAACAGGAUUAGAUACCCUGGUAGUCCACGCCGUAAACGAUGAGUGCUAAGUGUUAGGGGGUUUCCGCCCCCCUUAGUGCUGCAGCUAACGCAUUAAGCACUCCGCCUGGGAGUACGGCCGCAAGGCUG
RNAcentral lists this ribosomal RNA (372 nucleotides) under uncultured organism. RNAcentral's name for it is "partial 16S ribosomal RNA". It matches the Rfam family "Bacterial small subunit ribosomal RNA", at positions 527 to 896 of the family's 1533-position model. The record is from RNAcentral.